UUUCAUUGUUACAGUCGAUGAUGAGUGCUAGAAUCAGUAACUAACGCAUGCAGACACAUCUUGAUUUUCUGAUUUUGUAAAUCUCGCAAACAUGAAUUUUCAUCAAAUCACAUUUGCACGAGCGACCGAUCUUAAUAUUUUCUUUAUGUGAUUAUAUUUACAUAAGUAGUAAUAUAUUAAGGUGCUUAAAGAAAUAAAAGUGUGUUUCUUCCCUCUGUGUGAGGGUUCAUCUCACCGUUCUGUGUGAGUGGUUCCCGAUUGUGUCCAUUUCCGGUGCCGUCGAUCCUAGCUCGGGCUGGGAUCGGUGGGUUUUCGUUUGUUCCUUUCUCCCUCUCUUUUUCCUCUUCUCUCCGCUGUUUUCUUCCCUGGAUUUCUUGGCCGAUCUGCCAUUUUCGCUCCCCUCUGCUGUUUCUCUUCCAUCUGCCUCCUCUUUCCCAGCUUCCGUCACCCUUUACCGCACCUGGUUGCGGCGUUUCGAGUUGGUGUGCUUUGAUCUGGUGCUGGCACUAGGUCGGGUGAUCCUUGCACCCCCACCUUCUCUCUGUUGUCUGCCCUUGUUGGCAGUGUUGCUCGUGGACUGCCAUGAGCUUCUUUCUCUUGGCUGCAGGUUCUCCGGGGUCUGUCGCUGUGCUGGACGUGAAGCUUGGACUUGGAUGCUGGUGGCGGUGAGACGUGGCUUUGUUUGGGGACCAAAUUUGACUGGAUCGACAUGCCCGGCUGCUAUUUUGGUGGUUGCAGCGGCGGUGUUGGCGGAUGUUGCGGCGGUUCUGGUUGUUUCUGUGUGUUUUGUUUUGGGCUCACCUUUUGGUUGGGCCUCUGUUGGUUGUUUGUGUUUUCGUUCUUGGGCCUUUGUGUUGUAAAUUUUGGGCCUCUGUGUUGUAGUGUUUUAUCUUUAAUGAAUUUGUUUUCUCCAAAAAAAAAAAAAAAAGUAGUAAUAUAUUAGGUAGCUUUAUGGUGUAGGUUAGAGAUCAUCGAGAUUUGUGACUUGUAAAGUCAACUCAUUUGGGAGUACUAUGUUUUGUCUGGUUCUUUCCAAGUCAUUAAGCUGUAAACAGUAAGCUAAUCCAUUUUAAAAAUUAAUAAUAAAAUAAUAAAAAGAUGAAUUUCAAGCAUGUAUUCCACACGUCACAUUCUAUGUUCGAUUCCUAAAGUUGGUGAAUCACAUUAUAGUGGUCAGGGAGAGCUUGAAAUGCCUUUGUGAGUUUUUUUCGGCUUCCAAAAAUGUGAACUACCAUAGUAAAAUCAUCAGUUGAUAAUUAAAAAAAAAAUUAACUAGCAAAUAUUGAUACAUGAGGUCUUAGGUUCGAGGCUCCAAGCUGGUGAGUCUGUUUGACUGUGGUCAGAGAGAUGCUGAAAUAACUUUGUGAGUCUUCCCGACUCUAAAAUAAGGUGGAUGUCUGUGGUUUACCACUAGUUGUCCCCUUUUAAGAAAAUAAAAAAUAAAAACUAAUGAAAAAAGCUUCAAAACUUUGAGUUUUAAUAAAAAAUCAUCCACUAACUUUAUUUAAUGAUAAGUUCAAGAGAAAUAAAAAAAAUAAAAAAAAACCUAACAAAAGCGCGUGCAAGCCCUACACCUCUGUCAAUACGUGAUCCACCACUUACAGAGAAGAAUAAUAUGAGGAAAGAUUUUUUUUUUCAAACUGUCAGUCGGUAGUCUUUUUCCAAUCAAAUGUCCAUCUCUCUUCAAAUCUCUUAGAAUUCAACUCUAUUUCAAUAUCCAAUUGUUGAACAUCCAAAUGGACCUCAAAGUCCUAUUGAUUCAAGCAAAUGAAGUUGAAGAUCAACAAAGCCUGCAAUUUCCAUACACCUGUGUCAAUAUGUGAUCCGCCACCAUGACAACGAUGAUUAUGAUCUUCUUGCUUAUCAGACUGAUCUGAAGGGAUGGACCCCAACAUUAGCAUCCCCAUGUUGUAGUUAGACAUUAUCAUAUGGUGUUGGUGGGGGUAUUGGGAUAGUGCUAGUAAACUCUUGUGAUGUCCUCCUCCUCUUCCAUGAUUUAAUAAGAAUUUCCUGCUCCCAACUCCAACUGCCAUGUUGAUGGUAUGAUGGAAAUUAUGAUCCCAAGAGGAAAGUUACUGCUGCUACUCACCUUCAGCUUCUUUUAUGCGGAAGUUUUUGUGGCAAUUGCAGGCAGAGCAGUUGAGGCCCUUGAGGGCUCCGAUGGUGCCCUAUUCUCCAUUGGGCAUGAAUUCGCAACAACCAUUCAUAGUAGUCCCUCACAUGGCUAACGCAUGGUUCUCGAGGCACUCCUUGUACCUCACCCUAUUGUGCCCAACUUUUUUAUUAUUAAAAGUGUUGUGUUUGUAGGGCACAACAUUUGCAUUUGGCGGAGGAGAAGAGGAAGCUGUAGAUGGGCGGACAAUAGAAGAAAAUUAAGCAAUUGAUGUAUAAAGUUAAGAAAUUGAAGAGAUAUAGAGAAAAUUUGAUGAGUAUCGAAGAAAAUUAGAAGAAGUAAAUGUGUUUGGAAUGUGAAAAUGUGCCAAGAAAAUUCAAGAAGAGGAGAGAAAAGAAUGUAGUAUCGUUAAGUUUCUUAAACAGUGUCGUAAGUUUUCAUAAACAGUGUAUUAAGUUUCAUAAACAGUGUCGUAAGAUUCAUAAACAGUGUAGUAGGUUUCAUAAAAAGUUUUGUGAGGAUGCAUGGGUCUGUGCGUCAAUUUUUUUUUUAAUAUUAAAAUUAUGUCUUUUUCAUUAAAAUUUAAAUUUUUUGUCCCUUUUAUUAAAAUAUAAGAGGUUUUCAUUAAAAUUUAAGUCUUUUUUAAUUAAAUAAAAUUAUAGCAUAAUUUUUUAUUAGAACAAAUUUAGCUCAAACUCUUUUCAUGAAAGUUUCCAUAAAAAAAAGAUAUUGAUAACACACAUACAAUGGACUGAAAGCGUGACAACUUUUCAACUAGUUGGCUGCCCACUGGUUACGAGCUACAAAAUAAAAUUAUAUUAUGCAAUAAAAAAUAUUAAAAUUUGAGAGAGAGGGUUUUGCUCUUAAAAAAUUAAAAAACCAUGUGACAGAUUGAGAGGGGGGUCGAAGCUUCACUUUGCCUGGAAAGCAAGAAAUAUAUAGAGUUUAUUAGUGGGAACACUAAUGGCUUCCCACUUUUAAUUACGAAAAGUUUUUUCUUGAGAAAAAAAUUAUGAAAAGUUAAGUUUGAUUAUUUUAAUUAAUAAUAAAUAGCAUUAUAUAUCAUCAUAAAAUAGCAAAAUCUUAAAAGUUUAAAACAUUGAUCACUUGACGUACAUUUGGAUGAUCACUUAAUUUUACCUUAAUCAUGGUAUUGCAUGAUUAACUUGAUACAAUUACAUUAACAUGUUCCCGUAACAUGGAAGUCGUUCUCCAUCAUUCUCCACCAUAUUUUAGGCAGAUAUAAGAAAGUGAAAGGCUUAAAGAACAAAGAAGAACCUUGGCAACUGUGGAGAAGAUUAAAAAUGGAAGGGACAAAGCAUGGGGCAUUAAUGUGGGUUAACACCUGUGGAACUGAUUAGAACCCAUAAUCCCACAUGCAAUGCAAUCACUAAUAUUUUAAGUUUAAUGAUCAUCAUAUGAAAAUUUAUCUCCUUUUCCUUUCACUUAACUCCGAAGCUUACUUAUAAUAAGCAAAAUUAUCCAUGUUAAUCCUGAAAUUUUUAUUAUUAUUAUUUUUAAAUAAACUAGCUGAUGGCUUUGCCACUGUUGUUCAUCUUUCUUGGAAUCGGAACGAGAAAGAGGCAUUUCAAUCUUUUUCUGACCAACAUCGUGUGAUUUAUCAAUGUCGACAAUUAAACUCAAGACGUACCGUGUAAAAUACGAACCUGAAAUUAAAAACAGAAAAAGAAGUCAACUUUCUUAGUGUCUUUGGUUGUAUGAAACUAAUUAAUUUGAUUAAUUAUUCAACUGACCGACUUAAUCCCAUCCGAAAAUAAAAGGACAUAAGUAAGUACAAAAGAUUGUGUAUAAUCCCAAUGUCCUAAUUGCUAGAAAUUGAGUACUCUCACAGCAGCUGUUUUGGGAUUUUUAUUUUCCUUGUAGCUAGCUAGGUGCCUAGGACUCGUUGUUACUAAUGUCUUUUGAUUGGACUUGCAUUCUCUGCUCUCCUAUUUCG
Molecule: long non-coding RNA, 4070 nt
Filed under: Malus domestica (apple)
Lineage: Eukaryota; Viridiplantae; Streptophyta; Magnoliopsida; Rosales; Rosaceae
Description: long non-coding RNA (MDOM_LNC018747)
Source: RNAcentral